GAUGAACGCUGGCGGCGUGCCUAAUACAUGCAAGUCGAGCGAACAGACGAGGAGCUUGCUCCUCUGACGUUAGCGGCGGACGGGUGAGUAACACGUGGAUAACCUACCUAUAAGACUGGGAUAACUUCGGGAAACCGGAGCUAAUACCGGAUAAUAUAUUGAACCGCAUGGUUCAAUAGUGAAAGACGGUUUUGCUGUCACUUAUAGAUGGAUCCGCGCCGCAUUAGCUAGUUGGUAAGGUAACGGCUUACCAAGGCAACGAUGCGUAGCCGACCUGAGAGGGUGAUCGGCCACACUGGAACUGAGCCACGGUCCAGACUCCUAAGGGAGGCAGCAGUAGGGAAUCUUCCGCAAUGGGCGAAAGCCUGACGGAGCAACGCCGCGUGAGUGAUGAAGGUCUUCGGAUCGUAAAACUCUGUUAUUAGGGAAGAACAAAUGUGUAAGUAACUAUGCACGUCUUGACGGUACCUAAUCAGAAAGCCACGGCUAACUACGUG
Molecule: ribosomal RNA, 497 nt
Filed under: uncultured bacterium
Lineage: Bacteria
Description: partial 16S ribosomal RNA
Rfam family: Bacterial small subunit ribosomal RNA
Source: RNAcentral